GUACACUCCUACGGGAGGCAGCAGUGGGGAAUAUUGGACAAUGGGCGCAAGCCUGAUCCAGCCAUGCCGCGUGAGUGAUGAAGGCCCUAGGGUUGUAAAGCUCUUUCACCGGUGAAGAUAAUGACGGUAACCGGAGAAGAAGCCCCGGCUAACUUCGUGCCAGCAGCCGCGGUAAUACGAAGGGGGCUAGCGUUGUUCGGAUUUACUGGGCGUAAAGCGCACGUAGGCGGACUAUUAAGUCAGGGGUGAAAUCCCGGGGCUCAACCCCGGAACUGCCUUUGAUACUGGUAGUCUUGAGUUCGAGAGAGGUGAGUGGAAUUCCGAGUGUAGAGGUGAAAUUCGUAGAUAUUCGGAGGAACACCAGUGGCGAAGGCGGCUCACUGGCUCGAUACUGACGCUGAGGUGCGAAAGCGUGGGGAGCAAACAGGAUUAGAUACCCUUGUAGUCCCAU
RNAcentral lists this ribosomal RNA (451 nucleotides) under uncultured organism. RNAcentral describes it as "partial 16S ribosomal RNA". It matches the Rfam family "Bacterial small subunit ribosomal RNA", at positions 331 to 798 of the family's 1533-position model. The record is from RNAcentral.